This 372-nucleotide ribosomal RNA is filed under the name uncultured organism. RNAcentral's name for it is "bacterial SSU rRNA". It matches the Rfam family "Bacterial small subunit ribosomal RNA", at positions 526 to 896 of the family's 1533-position model. The record is from RNAcentral.
CGAAGGGUGCAAGCGUUGCUCGGAAUUAUUGGGCGUAAAGGGUUGGUAGGUGGUUACGUAUGUCUGGGGUGAAAUCCCUGAGCUUAACUCAGGAAGUGCCUUGGAAACGGCGUAACUAGAGUGCUAGAGAGGUUCGUGGAAUUCCCAGUGUAGCGGUGAAAUGCGUAGAGAUUGGGAGGAACACCAGAGGCGAAGGCGGCGAACUGGAUAGCAACUGACACUGAACAACGAAAGCGUGGGUAGCAAACAGGAUUAGAUACCCUGGUAGUCCACGCCCUAAACGAUGAUGACUAGUUGUUGGAGGAGUUAAAUCCUUUAGUAACGCAGCUAACGCGUGAAGUCAUCCGCCUGGGGAGUACGGUCGCAAGAUUA